UACGGCCGUACCAUGUAUAUUCAUACCGGUUCUCGUUAGAUCACCGAAGUUAAGCAUCAUUGGGCGCGGUCAGUACUUGGGUGGGUGACCACCUGGGAACACUGCGUGCCGUU
Molecule: non-coding RNA, 113 nt
Organism: Caerostris darwini
Lineage: Eukaryota; Metazoa; Arthropoda; Arachnida; Araneae; Araneidae
Source: the annotation of a GenBank genome assembly